Ictalurus punctatus (channel catfish) is the source of this 816-nucleotide long non-coding RNA. RefSeq lists it as uncharacterized. The record is from RefSeq and is a predicted model, not a curated record. The transcript has 3 exons. NCBI's taxonomy places the organism in Eukaryota, Metazoa, Chordata, Actinopteri, Siluriformes, Ictaluridae.
GUAUUUCCACUACAUUUGAUUAAGCUACAGGUUUAAUGUAGUUUUAUUCUUUCCUGCAUUACCAUUAGCAUGUUUAACCUGGAGGACAAAUAUACAAAUAAUGAAGUAGUGAAAUGCUAACUGUGUUUUCUUCAACAACACUGACUUACAGACUUUUAGUGAAUUAUGAUAAAUGUUUAUAGGUGAUCAUGUUACUAUUGCAUCAGAAACAUCUAAACCAGCUCUGUGUGAUAAUUCAGUGGUGUGUGAACCAACACUGCAUGGAAACAGCACUAACAUGAACACACACGAGAAAACAGGUAACAUGUCAUAUAAUUCAGUGUUAAUUAAUUAUCCUUAAUCUGUACAGUAUAAUUCGGCCAGAAAAUAAAUUGUACUGAUAUAAAUGUAAUGUUUUAUAAUAACUGAACCGGAAAUGAUCAGAUCUCUACACUCGACAGUGCUCGGUUUGGGAACGGCUUUGGGUUUGUGCGCACUUCUGAUUUUCUGUCUCAUUUAUUUCAUACUGAGGAGAAGAAAAUGUGAUAAAAUAAACGCUUCUAUAGAAGAUUGUUCAGGAAUGAGGCAGGAAUCUGAAGCAGAAACACUCAAUUAUGCAGCUUUGAAAUUCCCCAAGAGGAAAGCCAGAGCUGAAAAAAGGAAAACUGGCUCAUCAUAUGAGUGUGUGUACUCCGAUGUGAAAUAUAACUUUAAAAUGUAACAUAAAUUAUUCAUAGCACAAAGAAUUCUUAUAGAAAUAAAAUAUCUUGACUAUAGACAAAUAUAUCCCAUAUUUUUACGUUUUACAUUUGCAUACUGUAUAUUUUUUUUAUAGUA